CACAAUCAAGUCAUAAAAUAUAAAAAAUAGUUGGGAUCCAGAGGCCAAUAAAUUUGUGGAUAGCAGCUAUGGAUAACAGCGGAAGCAACGCACGCAAGUCAGAACAGGAAAAAGCACUGCCAGAGGUAAAUAGAACGAAGGAUCAGCCAGAGGAAAUUCAAACCGAUAAAAAAGUCAAUGAACCGGUAACUGUGAUCGAGGAGGCUACGCACAAAUCCACUGAGGCAGAUGGUGGUGAUGGCGAUGAUGAUAUCACAUCAACUGAUCUAGAAGAAAUCAUUGGUCGACCUGCGACCGAAGCUUAUGUUGAAGACUCUUCUAGAACUGAAAAAACAUCAAGAGAGAAUGAAGACAGGGCAAAGUAGAAGAAUGUGAAAAGAAAUAAAUAUCUGCUUAUAAAAAUUAAAGCAGGUAAUUGCUUUUGUGUUGAAGAUUGUCUAUGUAUUUAAACAUUGCAAAUAAAUCAGGAGGGUUCAUGUUAUUUCAAA
This is a long non-coding RNA of Manihot esculenta (cassava), 488 nucleotides long. RefSeq lists it as uncharacterized. The transcript is spliced from 2 exons. NCBI's taxonomy places the organism in Eukaryota, Viridiplantae, Streptophyta, Magnoliopsida, Malpighiales, Euphorbiaceae. The record is from RefSeq and is a predicted model, not a curated record.